AGCUAAUGUCACUGUCUCAGAGAGAAUCGGCUGUUCUUACAUGUAUUUCACGAUCAUUCAUGUCUCUUGAUAAUUUAGUAACACUUCGAACGCAAAAAGUAAUAACCAUUUCGCUAAGUAACUAGAAAAAUAAAUGAAAAUGAACUUUAAUUUUACGGCUGCUUUCUCGCUGCUCGAAGCGCUAGUGUGGCACCAACUGUCAGAAGGUAACAAUUUUCACAGGAGUGGGUGUCGCGACUGUUUUGUUAGACAGUGAUACGAAAUGUUCCGGAAUUCGCGUAUGAGGGCGGCCACACACUUAAUUGCAUGCUUGGCAAGCAUGCUUGAGCAAGCAUUUAUAAAUUCAUGGCGCAUGUACACAGUUGAUGUAUGCUUAUACAAGCAUUAGUGUGUUUAUCAAAAAAUGUCGAGCUAAGACGACUAUGCGCCGUCUUUGACAACGUUUUUGGUUGUGUUACGAAAUAAAGAUGAACUGUUGUGUGUGUAGUAGAGAGAGGUUAAUAAACGAAAACAUUAUUCCCAUAUUAACUACUUUUGGUAGACACGCUAUGGAAACUUAUCACACAGCACUGUUUAUUUUCUUUUCUCCUUGUCCAUGCAAUAUGUGUUCUUUGACUCGGCAUUCAGAACAGUACAACUUUUGUGCAGAACAUAAUUUAAGAUAAACAAAUGUAAAUUAAAUCAAGCUAGAUCACUGACAGAUGAUAUCACAAGGCUUCCUGUUCUUGGUAAACACGCUCAAACAUAUAGACGUUUGAACGCUUGUACAAAGCAUGCAUAAUCGAAAUACUAUCAAGCAUCAAGCUGCUUGUACAGUCUUAAUCCUUGCGCAAAUUUUUUGUACACAGGCGUAAGCAUGUUUGGGCCAGUACAUUUGCGUCAUGCGUGCUUGUCGAGCAUUUAGUUAUAGGUGUGGGGUCACAUUAAAACGUAAUCUGAGUAUGACGUAAAUCUGAGUAAUGUUGCAAGAAUUGCAUUUUACAGCAUCGAAAUUGUACUGGAUCGUACGCAAGGAUGUUAAUGAAGUGUGAAAUAAUAGUUUGGCACAUGCAUAUAAGUUUUGUUGGUAUAUAAUGGAGCAUUGUGCUGCAACAUUUUGUAUAACUAGGCUAGCGACUAGAAGAUACAGCAAAUCACGAGUUUUACUGUUUUUGUGCCUUACAACGAUGUUUCGUUUGUGUUCCACGCACUGUACUGAGCUUAAAAACCAUUAGUACUGACAACUUUUUGUUGUGCCAAUCUGCGACUCAGCAUCUCUGCUCUAUGAUGAGUAGCAGCUGUCCACUUUAUAAUAUUGUUAAAUUCCACCCUGGAUUUUCUUUUGAAAUAAUGAUUUUUGUUAUAGUUACAGAAGCACACACCUAAUUUUAGAUUUGAUGAAGACACUUUUUGGAGGGUGUCAUAAUUCCUGCAGAAUGUCAAAUGAAGAUUUUUGCAUAUUUGCUAUCGAAAGUGGAAGUGUUGGUAGCGAAACGGAAUACCAAGUGGAGAAAGGUGAUUGCACCAAAUUAUCGACUUGCUAGUGCCCUCACGUUUCUGGCAGCAGGAGACAGUUUUAAAAGCCUUCAGUACCUAAUUAGAGUUUCGUCACAGAUUGUUUCGAGUAUACUUCCAGAGGUUUGCAGUGACAUUAAAGUGCUGCAAGGAGAUGGAAAGAUGCCAAAAACAUGUACAGAAUGGACGAGAGUUGCAAUAAUGUUUGGAAAAUCUUUGAAAUUUUCUCCACUACAUUGGUGCCACGGAUAGACGCUGUAGCUGUACAGGCCCCUGCUAACAUGGAUGUGAAUUUUACAGUUAUAAAUACAGCACAAAUACAUUUGGGCUAUUGGUCAAUGUAUUUAAAGUGCUUUGGAAACCAAUGCUGCUUCAGCUAGAUAAAGGGUGAGGGUUGCCCAGAAAGUAAUGUUACAACAAUGCUACAUGAGAGAAACAUUACAUAUGUACUAUUUGUAAUCUCCUAAGUGAGUGCACCGCAUUUGUCACUUCAGACAGACAGCAUAGCUGCAGAGCAGUUUCAAAAUGGCAUUUGCAGGUGAUGUACAGUACAAGCAACAUGCAGUUAUUGAAUUUCUCACUGCAGAGAAAGAAACUGUGGGGAAUAUUAACAAAUGCUUAUGCAAAAUCAGUGGAACAUCUGCUGUCAAUAGAAGUACAGUUAGUCACUGGUCGCGGAGGGUGAGGUCAUCGGAAGGCGGUUUGGCAGAGAUCCACUAUUUGCAGCGGUCAAGCAGGCCAUCCACGGCUGUAACACCUGAUAUGUUGCAACGAGUUGCUGAUGUCAUUCACGAGGAUAGCCGCAUUACAACUCAGCAGUUGGUGCUGCAUCUGUUAAUCAGAAGGAAGUGUGGGUGCAAUUGUCCGCACUUUUAGAUAUUCAAAAGUGUUUAAAAAAUGAGGUCUAACAGUAGAUCACAAAUUGCACAGAAAAAACGUUUGUCUUGAUUUGUUUCAAAGUUUUGAAGGAGCCUUCUUGUCCUGUAUUGCGACAGGUGGUGAAACGUGGGUUCUCCAUUUUUAGCCCAAAACAAAAUGACUCUCGAUGGAAUGGCACCAUUCAGACACCCCACAGAAGAAAAAAUUCAAAGCAACUGCUUCUGCUGGUAAGGUUAUGAUCGCCGUUUUCUGGGACUGUAGAGGUGUGAUUCUUAUUGGUGUGUUGCCAAGAGGCAGUACAAUUAAUUCAGAAGCUUAUGUCAACACAUUAACAAAACCCAAGAUGCGCUUCCGGCGACUUCAGUGCUAUAGCAUUCCAGGAGAUUUUUUGCUGCAACACGAUAACACUUGGUCCCAUACAAGUCUUAGGACUGCUGAACAGAUCGCAAAAUGGGGUUGGACAGUUUAUCCCAUCCACCCUGCAACCCUAACCUAGGCCCCUCGGACUUCCAUUAAAGGAUGUCAUUCAUGAAAGACAUUUUUAGGACGAUUAGGAUGCGAUUCACAUAGUGAAGCACCCGGCUGUGCUACCAGGACAAGGAUUGGUACCAACACGGCAUAGGCGGGACAAGGAUUGGUACUAACACGGCAUAAGCGCUCUUUUCACGCUGGAAGCCAUAGAACAGGAUGGAGAUUACAUGGAGAAAUAGGGUGUGUUGAUAAAACACCAUUCGUUCAUGUUUGUAAUUCUCAUUAUGUUCGAUAAAUUGUUGAAGGAAGAAAAAUGUGGUGCAUUAGUUUCUGGGCAGCCCUCAUGCUAUACAGCGUUCAUGGUGUCAGAUGCAUAAUGACUGGACAUAAUUAAUACUGUUAAGAAAUAUCCCAAGGAAGACUGGCCUUGAAGCAGAAAUGAAUUUGCUGAGCACUUGUUAACUACUAGAAAAAUACCGUGGUAAAACAAUUGCAGCCACUGUCAAUGUAGACUAUUUGUUCUGUAUAAUUUCAUUACCCAAAUAAAAAUGGGUCACAGUAGUUAAGUUUUGUGUUACUACAAAUGUGGACUUACCAUAUGUUGUUUGUGCCCCGACAUUUCCCUAUCCAAAUAAAUAUUGGUCAAAAUAGUUAA
Long non-coding RNA from Schistocerca gregaria, 3499 nucleotides. RefSeq lists it as uncharacterized. The record is from RefSeq and is a predicted model, not a curated record. Lineage: Eukaryota; Metazoa; Arthropoda; Insecta; Orthoptera; Acrididae. The transcript has 2 exons.